This is a long non-coding RNA of Fukomys damarensis (Damara mole-rat), 1678 nucleotides long. The record is from Ensembl. NCBI's taxonomy places the organism in Eukaryota, Metazoa, Chordata, Mammalia, Rodentia, Bathyergidae.
CCCGGGGAGGAGGGCAGCGCCCUGGCCCAGCAGUGUCACUAGCUCAUCUCUCCAGUGCCAGCCAUGACCUGCAAUUACUCCUCUGCUGACCUGUCUCCUGUCUACUUCCUGGCUCCUCCUCCCGACUUGGAAGCCCUGUUCUCUGCUGAACCCACGCCCUGGGCCCAGCACGGUACCGGCGGAGGGUGGAUGGAGGGAGGGGGAAACACCUCACUGGGCCAGGCUGGGGCUGAGCAGUGAUGCAGAUUAAUGAGGUUCAGAGGCUGGAGUGUACACAGGGGCCCAGCUGGCCCCUGGUGCCCACCAGGAUGCUGGGAAGGAGUGGAUGAACCAAAGAGACUGUGUCCAAGUGACAGCCGGUGGAGCAUCUGGUGCCUGGGGGGUGGGGACAGCACCCGCAGACCCCGAGCAGCCCCUCUGUCCCUUUCGGCGCAGCUGCCCUUUUCUAAAAAGGCCCCUGAGCAAAGGCACGGUGCCCACAGGAAGCCAACACCCACGGGACGCGCGACCCUGCCGGGGCCCACCCUGUGCCUGACACUGCGGUCACACACCCGCACCAAGCACGGCGACCACGAGACCGAGAUGGCUCCAUUAACGCCUCUCGGAGUCACUCCCACCCCUCUGUCCACCCAGAAAAGGCUCUGCCCACAGAGAUGCCCCAAGAAUGCUUCACUCAGGUGCAGGAUCCUGCGUGAUUUUCGAGAAGACUUUGGGCAAAGGCUUUCAGACAGGGCUGGUGGGUGUGCGAGGGUCUCUGGCCAGGAGCUGAACCCACCCCGCCCCCUGGCCUGGCAUGUGCACCCGCUCGCAGGGUCUUGACCUGCUGUUGAAGGAGUGAGGGCCCCACCCAGGGUGAAGCCCAGCCUGCUGCUGCCCCAGGGGUGGAGAGGUGGGGGGGGCGGUGAGGUAAAGAUUAUUCUCUUCAUUUCCCAGCUGAGGAGACUGCGGUCACAGGAAGAAAUGAAUUUGCCCAAAGCCCUGUCACCAAAUGGCAAAACUGCCCUGCCCUACCCCUAGCUUCCAGGAAGUCUGCAAGGCUGGCCUGCCCACUCCUUAGGACAGGGGGACAGGAACAGCCCCCAGGCUCUGGGUGACCCAGACAGAAUGCGAGAGAGCCUUAGCCAGGCAGGGUGGCACAUGCCUCUAAUCCCUCAGGGGGCUGCCACUGAGUUUGGGGCCAGCCUGGGCUACACAGUGAGUUCAAGGCGAAUUUGAACUACACGGUGAGAUGCUAUCUCAAAAAAGAAAAAAACAGAAAAAUAAAAGAAAAACCAAAAAUGCUCAUCGUGGUGGUGUACUUCUGUAACCCCAGUACUUGGGAGGCUGAGGCAGAAGGAUAGCUGAAAGUUUGAGGCCAGCCUGGGUAACACAGUGAGCUCAACGGCUGAGGAGACCCUGUCUCAAACAAGACAAACAACAAAAAACCAAAACCAAAACCGAAAGAAUAUCAAAGAGCCAUGUAGGGGCUUAUCCUUUAGCUCAAACUGACCAGCAUUCCCUGAGCACCUACUGUGUGCCAGCCAUCACCUUGUUUGUGGUGGGGGCACCGCCAUAAACAGGACCCCAAGAAUCUCCCACCAAACCUGUCACCCCCAAACUGAGAUCCAUGUGUGCCACUGUGAGCUGACAGCCAGGAAGGGCCUGGCUCCCCACUUCCUCUCCGACACCAGGGAGGCCC